GCGAGCGGCGGCGCUGAUUGCUGUUCUCAUGGCAGGAGGAUGGGGCUGGCGCUCAUUAGCGGGCGGCGGGAGGCAGGGCAGGGUUCGCGAGCUCACAAAUUGCCUCGGAGCAGAGACACAAGCAAUGUCCCCAUCCCUGUGGGACUCCCCAGGAGAGGCUCCCACACCCAGGCUCAUCCUGUGCCCACCCCUGUGGAGCAGACACCCCCAGCCCUUCGGCAGAGGGGAUCAGCACCAUCCCCCAGACCCCGCUGUCACGCCGAGCCCCGGCAGAGCCAGCGAGCUGCGUGUCCCCACGCAGGCACUGCCGCCCCAGGUGGCCUUGUUUUCCUCGGCAAAGGCGGAUGGGAGCCACCAUCUUCUGAGCAAAGAGCAUUUUUAAUCUCCUGCUCCCGCUCCAUGCAAUUAACUUGAUUCCCUCCCCUCGUUUCCUGCAGAGGUUUAAUUAAAAUGCAUUGUUCGCCUCGCCAAUUAUUUGCUCUGUCCCCCGGAUAACCUCUGUGCAGCGGCUGCUUCUUGGGCCUUUUUUUUUUUCCUUUCUUUCUUUCUCUUUUUUUUCCCCCUUCCUUGUUGUUAUUGAGGUUUCUCUCCUCUCCCCCCUCGGCAGCUCCAGCAGCUUUUACCUGCCCGGGAGAGCGGGAUGGGGGAAUGAUGGAAGCGCUGCAGCCCCGCACGCACCGGGGCGGGCGGGGGCCGCGGCUUCCCCGCGGAGCCGGGCGGGGGGAGCGCCCGGAGCUCCGUGCCCCGAGCAGCUGAAACAACAAGACCUUGUUGACUCGCUUUGAGUUCCCGGCACUCGGCAGCUGCUGCUCCAGCAGGCUUGAAAUCCAUACUCCUGGCUGUUCCUGCCCUGAUAUGCAAGUGCUCUAUAAUUGAAAACUCUCAGUUGUGCACUUCUCCCAUGCAAAGCGAAGGCUUCAAAGCAGCAGGUGGAAAUUGAGCCGAUAUCUUGGCUGCCGAAGUGAAAAUUUGAAUGAAAAUUUAAUUUUUCCUUCUCAAAGCAGGGGAUUGGGUUCCUGGGGCCCUGGCCAAAAGCCUGAUGUGACCUUGACUUGCAGGGGCAGCGAGGGGAGCAAACCCCAGCUCUGCCCCAGGAAUACAGGAGAUGCAGCAAAGGAGAUUUUUCUGGGAAUUCUCUUGGCCAGACAGAGUUUCAGCUUCUGUGUAACAAUAAUGUGAUUUCCUGGUGGUUUUAUGGCUUUAGUGAGUUGAGGAGAGGGGACUGAACAUCUCCUGGAUUUUGAGCAUCACCUGUGAGGCUCAGUCCUUUCCUACAAGGACGCUCAGCAGCCUCGGGGCCUGUUGGUGGUGUUGAGUGGUGCUCCCACACUCAGGUGCUUCCUCCGGGUGCUUCUCUGCAACAUCCUCGAUGCUCUUUGGCACCCUGCUGUUGAUCCCCCCUGGUGGCCCAGGGCCCUGUGCUUUCUGUCGUUGUCACCUGCAGAAGGCAGUGGUGACACUGGCAUUGUGCAGGAGGUGAAACAUCACCAUGAGCAUCCCCUCCUGGGCUGGGGGCACCCAAAGGCUCCUGGGGGGUGCCAGGGGCUGGAUCCACUGCGGAGGAGUUUCCCAUGCCCACAUUUGGGGCACAGGGUUGAAGGAGAGGAGAGGGAAUGUGGCUGUGGAGUCGCUGCCUGAGCUGGAGCUGUGCCACUGCCGGAUCUGCGAGGGAGGGGUGUUCCACCGAGGGGCCGGGGGCUUUCAGGGGGGCGUGCGGCCCCUUAGGAGCCUUUUCUUGCAUCCCACGUGGAUUUGAUUUCCCAGCCCUCGGAUUCCUUCGGGCUGAGGAAAGGAGCCGCCUGUGCGAAGGAGCCGCGCGGCCGCAGCGGGCGGGUCCCUCCCGGCUCUUAUUUUGUGUUUGUUUUUAAUUGAAAGACAAAAGGCCGCGUGCUGGAGGCAGCCUGCCUUUCCCUUUGUCCUCGGUCUUGAGCAGAGGGAUGGGAAGGGAACACGGCAAUCCCGAUUUUACCCAUCCCUGGGGCCAGCAUUCCCUGUUCCCAUGAGACCCCCAGACCCCACCGAGCAGCAGCUGCCCCUUUCCUGGGGGUGAAGGGGGAGCAGCUGCGGGGUGAUGCCACAGGCAGGUGUGUCCAUCCCUCCUGCUCUCCUGAGAUUUAGCCCUUUCUUCUUUCUUUUUUUUUUCCCCUUUUAAUCCCUGGAAACAAAGCCAGAGAGCAGCUGCGCCCGGCAGCGCAUCCCGCUGCAGGCAGGGCCGGGGCUCUGCUCACAGGCGGGAUCUCGGCUUUGCAGGUGAUUCCCGAAAAAUCCCUUUGCCAAAGCGAACCCUGGGGCUGCCCGCGGGUUUCCGGGCAGGUCAGGGGGUUGGCCGGGCCACGGAUGUGUUGGGAGUCCAGGAGAGGAGCCCACCCUGCAGCACCCGGGGCUGCCUGGCAAAGGGGUGGCUAUUUCUGGGCUGCAAAAGGAAAAUUGUCCAACUGCUGAAAUUGGCAGUGAACCCUAGGACAAUAAUAAACAACUUCCCGGCCAAGGUCCCUGGCUAUUUUCUCUCUGUUUUGGCUUGGAGAGGAAGAUUUAUUUUGUUUGCUGCUUGGAAUUUUUUUCCCUUGUCUUUUUCUCUUUUUUUCCCUCUUCCUUUGGAGGUAUUUAAAGCCAACAACCCCACCGAGGCCAGGCUGGGGUUGCUGCUCUCCUGGAUGUCCCUGGGUCCGUGGAGGUGUCAGUGUCACUGCCUGCCAUGGUGGCACUCCAAGCAGAACGUUUUGGGAUGUGUUCAAAGCCCAUCCCUUACAGACCUGCAGGGCAUUUGUAGCUUCCAGAUGAGCCUUGACAGUAAAGAAAUUAAAUAAUAAAAACCAAAUAAAUAAGCAGGAAAAAAUUCCACUAACUCCCAGGAAGGGUUUUCCUGGCUGUGGGACUGACCAG
Molecule: long non-coding RNA, 2883 nt
Organism: Prinia subflava (tawny-flanked prinia)
Lineage: Eukaryota; Metazoa; Chordata; Aves; Passeriformes; Cisticolidae
Exons: 3
Source: RefSeq, a predicted model, not a curated record